Molecule: non-coding RNA, 71 nt
Organism: Eubacterium plexicaudatum ASF492
Lineage: Bacteria; Bacillati; Bacillota; Clostridia; Eubacteriales; Eubacteriaceae
Source: Rfam
GCAGGUAUCGUACAUCGGUAGUACACCAGCUUCCCAAGCUGGUAAGGUGGGUUCGACUCCCAUUACCUGCU